UGAGUUUGAUUCUGGCUCAGGAUGAACGCUGGCGGCGUGCUUAACACAUGCAAGUCGAACGAACCUUCGGGUUAGUGGCGGACGGGUGAGUAACGCGUGAGAAUCUGCCCUCAGGAGGGGGAUAACGGUUGGAAACGACCGCUAAUACCCCAUAUGCCUAUUGGUGAAAUGAAUUUCGCCUGAGGAUGAGCUUGCGUCUGAUUAGCUAGUUGGUGAGGUAAUGGCUCACCAAGGCUUCGAUCAGUAGCUGGUCUGAGAGGAUGAUCAGCCACACUGGGACUGAGACACGGCCCAGACUCCUACGGGAGGCAGCAGUGGGGAAUUUUCCGCAAUGGGCGAAAGCCUGACGGAGCAACGCCGCGUGAGGGACGAAGGCCUCUGGGCUGUAAACCUCUUUUCUCAAGGAAGAAGAUAUGACGGUACUUGAGGAAUAAGCCACGGCUAAUUCCGUGCCAGCAGCCGCGGUAAUACGGGAGUGGCAAGCGUUAUCCGGAAUUAUUGGGCGUAAAGCGUCCGCAGGCGGCUUUUCAAGUCUGCUGUUAAAACGUGGAGCUUAACUCCAUCAUGGCAGUGGAAACUGAAAGGCUUGAGUAUGGUAGGGGC
Molecule: ribosomal RNA, 603 nt
Filed under: uncultured cyanobacterium
Lineage: Bacteria; Bacillati; Cyanobacteriota
Description: bacterial SSU rRNA
Rfam family: Bacterial small subunit ribosomal RNA
Source: RNAcentral